RNAcentral lists this unclassified non-coding RNA (219 nucleotides) under soil metagenome. RNAcentral's name for it is "partial internal transcribed spacer 1". The record is from RNAcentral.
AUACAAAGUGUGGUUUUUUCACAAAACUACAUAAACCCAAAAUGUCGAACUGUAUCGGAAACGUUGGGGUUUUUUUGGCUAAGUUUCCCUGACGUUUCUUUGUUUUUAUUCAAAAUUUAGCUAUUUUCUUUAACCCAAUUUCACCUCGAUAUUCAUUUGUAUGAACUUAAAUGUUUUUUGAUCCGAAAGGAUUGAAAAAAAUCAUACGAAACUUAAGAA